GAUCCUGCCUCCAACACCCGGCUGCUCCCACGGGCUGCUCGCUCCAGGUGGGACUGAGACCCACACGAGGCCCCUCAGCUGGCACUGGCGUCGCAGGGAUGCUGGGCUGGCUGCAGGUCAGCACAUAGUGGGGAUGUGGUAGCAGGGAUUCUUGGCUGCCUGUGACUCACUGAUCUAUUGCAAAUAGCUUUGGGCAGUGCUGCUGUGAUAACAGCAAAAAUCAAACCCCCCAAAAUGCCUUCCUGCUCCAUCCUUUAGGUGGAUGUGCUACUGGCAGGGGUUUUGCCAGCACUAGGUGCAAGGGGCUGCUCACAGGGUGCAAUGAAACCCAGCUUUGAUUUUUUGUGUCUGUUUCACCCUUUCCUCUCUCUAUUCAUAUUUGUCAGCAGGACUUUCUCCCUUCCUAGGUAAUGAAACUGAGGGAGAUUUUCCCCUUUUGUGUUUUAAUGAUGAGAGAUGAGUCAGGAAGAGAUCACUGAAAGAAAAAGGCCUCCAGGUACUGGAAUAAAGGUGCAGGUGCCCCCCCUCUCCCCACACUGAUGCUGCUUGUUGCAGGCUGGGGUACACAGACUUCCUUUGGGUACUUGUCUGGCUUUGGUUUGGGAUGGCACAUAAGUGGAGCUGCAGCAUUUAGCCCUGUGAGUUCCAGUCUGUGCUUGACUCGCAGCCCUUUUGCUUCUUCCUCAGCAUCUUCCUGAUGAGGGCCAGAGAUUUCUGGUUUGGCACCGCAGACCAUCAACCACAACACACUGCACAACUCCCUGACACAGUCAGAGCCAUCAUUAGGUGUCACUGAAACCCACGCUGGUGAAGGUUUUAUUAGAGUGACCUCCUACAACAUCACAAACCCCAGACUACCCCUGUUCUCCAGAAAGAAUCUGUAGAGAUGGAUGGGCAGCUCUCUGUUGUCUUUCAGUGUGCAGAAACUCAGCUUUUCACCCAAGGAAGGAACUGAUGUCACCACUGGAAAAUCUGUGACAUCUCUGGGAGGAUCUGUGAGCCUGUGGCCACAGCAGGGCACCCUGCAGCAACCAGUCUUGCCAAUAAAAACAGGAGUUGAGCUGUUUUUGGAGUGGCUGUGACCUGGAUUUACUCUUGAAAGAUUGCACAGGUGUGCCCAGACACACUUGGAGCCAUGCGGCAGGAUUGCAAGGACCCUCUGACACUUCCAGGGAUGUCUCCAAGAUCCUCGUGAGGAACUGCACGUCCAUAGCGUGCGGCACAGCACUGUGUGUUGUGCUGGCUGCUGUGGAGCAGGUUCUCAUUUACUCUUCCCCAUGCCGCCUAGCAUGUCAAAGUCAAAUGGAUUUGCAUGCAAGUGUCUGCAAUCACCCACAAAAUGUGUUCUCCCUGCUUGAUCCAUCCAAUUACAUGACUAACUUUGCCUGGACUCAGUGGAGAUUGAUAGCAUUGGGAUCGGACUGCGGUCAAGGAACUGGAAAUCUGAUUUGAGGUACAGCAGAAGCACAGAGGAGCCACUGAAACAUGCCCCAGCGUGAGCUGCCUGACUAGAGCACAGUCACUAGUGGAGAUGACCUGUCUGGGCUUGUCUUCUGCUCAUGAAGCUCAAGAGAAUGAGCUGCUGGAAAGGCCUGGCUGCAGCUCCAAGGUGGAGGUAAACAGCAGUGCUUUGGAUAAUCCUGUCUGUGAUGCUCCAUCAGCAGCAGAUCCCAAAGGUAAACAGUCCCAACAAUCAGCAGUCCCAUCCACAGAGCAGCACUGUGAAGUUGCAAACUUUUCUAUCUUGCAAUACAGUCAGGACCUAACACACCUUCCAGUGGUGGGCCUUGGUCUUGUCCACACUUGUGUUCACAGACAACAAGGGAAACAUCCAUUUCACAGUAGUUCUUACUGUCAGCAUCUUUUCUGGUAUCCAGGCAGCUCCCCACAGCACCACAGUUAAUUUAGUCUUUACAGAUAUUCCCCUGAGCUGCAAAAAGCCUUCCAGAGCUGACCAGAGCUGCUAGCUACAGGCAGGAGGUGUUAGAGUAGAUCCUGGACCUAAUCCAGCUCAGGUUUGUUUGCCUUUUGCAGAAAGGCAAAACUCCAAAGUGCCUGGUUGGUUUUGAA
This is a long non-coding RNA of Prinia subflava (tawny-flanked prinia), 2070 nucleotides long. RefSeq lists it as uncharacterized. The record is from RefSeq and is a predicted model, not a curated record. Lineage: Eukaryota; Metazoa; Chordata; Aves; Passeriformes; Cisticolidae. The transcript has 4 exons.